ACAUUGGUGGUUCAGUGGUAGGAUUCUUGCCUGUCACGCAGGAGGCCCGGGUUCGAUUCCUGGCCAAUGCA
RNAcentral lists this transfer RNA (71 nucleotides) under Lepisosteus oculatus (spotted gar). It matches the Rfam family "tRNA". From Rfam's summary of the family: Transfer RNA (tRNA) molecules are approximately 80 nucleotides in length. Their secondary structure includes four short double-helical elements and three loops (D, anti-codon, and T loops). Lineage: Eukaryota; Metazoa; Chordata; Actinopteri; Semionotiformes; Lepisosteidae. The record is from Rfam by way of RNAcentral.